This 1119-nucleotide small RNA is filed under the name Pan troglodytes (chimpanzee). RNAcentral describes it as "retained intron". The record is from RNAcentral. Lineage: Eukaryota; Metazoa; Chordata; Mammalia; Primates; Hominidae.
UUUUUCAUCUGUGAGAUAUAUAUCAUUUAUAUAUUUCUGCCAUCAUUUUAAUUUCCUUGCUUUCUUACUUUGCUCUGUGUGUACACACAUAAGUGCAUGUGUAUGUGAAUAUAACUAUUGCAUUUUAUUAAACAGAAGUUCUGAGAUAUUGGCAGUAUACAACUUUGUGAACAUGAUGUUACUAAAUAAAUAACACUGUAUUUAUUAGACUGGAGUAGCAAUUAGACCCUAAAUGCGAUGGUUUAGCACACUAGGAAUUCAUUUCUUGCUCAUGUAACACAAGUUUUAAUUGCAGGGGUUUUUAAAAUAUAUUUCAGAUGAGUAAAGCACAUGUUCCCUCUUGGAAGAUGACUCUGCUAAAUGUUUGCAGUCUUGUAAAUAAUUUGAACAGCCCAGCUGAGGAAACAGGAGAAGUUCAUGAAGAGGAGCUUGUUGCAAGAAGGAAACUUCCUACUGCUUUAGAUGGCUUUAGUUUGGAAGCAAUGUUGACAAUAUACCAGCUCCACAAAAUCUGUCACAGCAGGGCCUUUCAACACUGGGAGUUAAUCCAGGAAGAUAUUCUUGAUACUGGAAAUGACAAAAAUGAAAAGGAAGAAGUCAUAAAGAGAAAAAUUCCUUAUAUUCUGAAACGGCAGCUGUAUGAGAAUAAACCCAGAAGACCCUACAUACUCAAAAGAGAUUCUUACUAUUACUGAGAGAAUAAAUCAUUUAUUUACAUGUGAUUGUGAUUCAUCAUCCCUUAAUUAAAUAUCAAAUUAUAUUUGUGUGAAAAUGUGACAAACACACUUAUUUGUCUCUUCUACAAUUGUGGUUUAUUGAAUGUGAUUUUUCUGCACUAAUAUAAAUUAGACUAAGUGUUUUCAAAUAAAUCUAAAUCUUCAGCAUGAUGUGUUGUGUAUAAUUGGAGUAGAUAUUAAUUAAGUCACCUGUAUAAUGUUUUGUAAUUUUGCAAAACAUAUCUUGAGUUGUUUAAACAGUCAAAAUGUUUGAUAUUUUAUACCAGCUUAUGAGCUCAAAGUACUACAGCAAAGCCUAGCCUGCAUAUCAUUCACCCAAAACAAAGUAAUAGCGCCUCUUUUAUUAUUUUGACUGAAUGUUUUAUGGAAUUGAAAGAAACAU